AUGAAUGGACAAGAUUCCACAUUUUUGUAUAGCCUGCUCCUCACACAUCAACCCAAAGUUUCUCGAAAAAACUUGAUUAUAGUGAUACAAUACUUGAAUAUGCUCCGCAGUAGCAUAGCCUUUGUGACGCUCGAAACAAUAGUGACUGAACGGAAUUCGCAUACCUGUCUCUUGUGACCUUUGCAAUAAUUGAAGCGGCAGCAAUGCUAAAGACUGAAGCGUCACCUACGCCUCAUAGUUUAAUGAAAUACUUUGAUCACCAAUAACCAACGUCUUAAGCAAUGAAAGUCGGGGCGGUAUACGAUUUCCAUCAAUAAGAAUAUGACAUUUUAUUUUAUUUUUUUGAGGAUGAAGUUUGGGCAAUUUCUCAAUAAGUUCCAAUACUGCUGUUGCCAUAGCCUCCAUAGUACAAAUAAUACCAAAGUACCUCAGCUGUCUCAAAAAGUAAUGAAGAACAUGUCGUUAGCCGGUGGUAGACAUUUUCUCUUGUUUUUUCAUCUAGCGUUUUAGAAUCCUUUUAUUGCAAACAUACAAUGAAGAGGGAUAAAGAGAGCACAUGUCACUACAGGGCCUGCUUUAAUGGGGAAAAGUGAAUAAAGACAAUUUUAAACAUGCACAAUUUGAUUUUAUAACAGUUUUUUUUUCUCUCUACCUAAGCAGCCUCGAC
Molecule: long non-coding RNA, 667 nt
Organism: Hylaeus volcanicus
Lineage: Eukaryota; Metazoa; Arthropoda; Insecta; Hymenoptera; Colletidae
Exons: 5
Source: RefSeq, a predicted model, not a curated record